GAUGAACGCUGGCGGCGUGCCUAAUACAUGCAAGUCGAGCGAACAGACGAGGAGCUUGCUCCUCUGACGUUAGCGGCGGACGGGUGAGUAACACGUGGAUAACCUACCUAUAAGACUGGGAUAACUUCGGGAAACCGGAGCUAAUACCGGAUAAUAUAUUGAACCGCAUGGUUCAAUAGUGAAAGACGGUUUUGCCGUCACUUAUAGAUGGAUCCGCGCCGCAUUAGCUAGUUGGUAAGGUAACAGCUUACCAAGGCAACGAUGCGUAGCCGACCUGAGAGGGUGAUCGGCCACACUGGAACUGAGACACGGUCCAGACUCCUACGGGAGGCAGCAGUAGGGAAUCUUCCGCAAUGGGCGAAAGCCUGACGGAGCAACGCCGCGUGAGUGAUGAAGGUCUUCGGAUCGUAAAACUCUGUUAUUAGGGAAGAACAAAUGUGUAAGUACCUAUGCACGUCUUGACGGUACCUAAUCAGAAAGCCACGGCUAACUACGUG
RNAcentral lists this ribosomal RNA (497 nucleotides) under uncultured bacterium. RNAcentral describes it as "partial 16S ribosomal RNA". It matches the Rfam family "Bacterial small subunit ribosomal RNA", at positions 28 to 507 of the family's 1533-position model. The record is from RNAcentral.